Brassica napus (rape) is the source of this 2965-nucleotide RNA transcript. RefSeq lists it as uncharacterized. Lineage: Eukaryota; Viridiplantae; Streptophyta; Magnoliopsida; Brassicales; Brassicaceae. The transcript has 4 exons. The record is from RefSeq and is a predicted model, not a curated record.
ACGUCACAAAAACAAAAACCAAAAUAAAUAUAAAUUUCGUAACGCCCAAUCUUCUUUGCAUAUCUACAUUACUUGAAACCCUAAUCCCCAAUUCCUCUUCCAAUAUUUCAAUCAGUCAUUUAAGAAAAAUCAAGAGACGAAUUUCGAAAAUUCCCGGCGAUUAUCUCAUCCAAACAUUCCAGAAGGUGUUAAGUGGACUUGGUUACCAUGAGAUUCAGAAAAGGAAGUAGAGUUGAGGUAUUUAGCAGCAAAGAGGCGCCUUAUGGUGCGUGGCGAUGCGCUGAGAUAAUCUCAGGUAAUGGACAUACCUACAGUGUUAGAUACUACUCUUUCCACGAGGAUGCAGUGGUGGAGAGAGCUCCAAGGAAGAUGAUUAGGCCGUGUCCUCCGCAAGUGGAUGUAGAGCGAUGGAAGAGUGGUGAACUGGUGGAAGUUCUUGAUGAUUUCUCCUGGAAAGCUGCCACUGUUCGUGAAGAGUUAUCUGGAAAGUACUAUGUGGUUCGGUUGCUUGGGACUCCUGCAGAGUUUACUUUUCACAAGGCAAACGUCAGGGUUCGUCAGUCGUGGCAAGAUGAGAGAUGGCUUGCAAUUGGAAAGAUAUCAGGUUCUGCGAAGUCAUCCACACUCACUGGACCAGACCUACAUCGGAAGCUGCAGCCUCAAAUGAAAGGCAUACUUCUCCGCGAGCCUAGUGUUGUCUCUCCUAGAGUAUUAAAGAGGCUGUUACCUCACAACUGGUCUGAGUGUGCUGAAUCAUACACAGGAAAGACCAAGAAGAUACGAUCACUGGAAGGUUCCUCCAAGAAUCCCCAAACUGGUUGCUGUCAAACGGUCAGGGUAAGAUCAAAAGGUCUUAGUGAGAGCUUAGUCGCUGAUGAUUGUUACGAUAGCGAUGCGUGCUCAGUUGGUAGUUGUAGCGCCACUAGUUAUGAUGGGAGUAACAUGCGACCUUGUAUGCUAGAUGGCUUUAGUCAACAGGCAGAAUCAUGUAGCAGCGAUGCUGAAUCUCAUUGUGGCCUUGGGGAAGAAGAAGCUAGGCGGGAGGAUUCAUUAGCAGGCGAUGGAGCAAGAAGUUCCUGUAGGUCUGAACUAUAUACUUACCGCAGUACUUUGGGGAACUUGUUCGCUUCUGGUCCACUAAGUUGGGAACAAGAAACGUCGUUAACUGAUCUCCGUCUUUCUCUUAAUAUAUCAGAUGAUGAACAUUUGAUGGAGGUAAGAAAUUUGAUAUCUGCUGGUACACGCAGUCAAUUUUGCUAGUAUCAAUCAGCAUUUAUUCUUUUUCUUUUUGUCCUGACAUGUGGAAUCAACUGUCAUAUAGUGUUGUUUUCCAGUGUGUAGACAGCAGAAUAUAAGUAUGUACCGAGACUCUGAUUAGAAUGAAUAUUUACGAGGUUCAUUACGGUGUUCUUUUUUACUGCUCUGUCAGAUUUCAGUUAGCUUCCUCUAUUUUAAUAGAAUAAAGCAAAAUUCAUGUAUACAUACUCUGAGAUAUCAUAUUUUUUAAGGGCUGUUCUAUUGGUGUCGUCUUUUAUUCUGUGAUGUCGAUUUUGUAGAUAAUGAAUUUAUUCUCCUCGUUUGGGGGCAGACUUGUGUGUUGAUAUUCUUGACCUCGUCUUGUUACUUGUGUGGCAAGAUGGGUCAGUCGUCUUGUCCUCGUCAGUAUCAGUAAUAUGUGGAUUUUUCGUUCAGUGCAUAUCCAAACUUGUGUCUGAUCUAUUCAGUGCUUCUACUUGUAGCUCUAUGAAGUGUGUUGCAUAGCGGUGUGAGUUUCCUACUCAUCAUCCCUAGAACAGUAUCGCUUUGUUCGUGGCAUACAGACUUUUUGCUUUUAGAGAUCUAACUUUGAUGCUGGGGUUUACGACUUCUCCCAUGGCCAUCUGAAUGGUGUCCUGGAGUCGGACUUGUCCACAGGACUUUAAAGCUGUGCUUUCGAGCAGGUUUCCUUAAAAUAUAUUUACAGCCUGAUUGGAUAAAUUUGCUGACAACAUGUGAAGAUCGAGUAGUUUCUCUGUACUUUGUAGUUCAUUCGUUACGUCUCACGGUGUCUUCCUUUUGGUAUUGUUUCUGAUCUGCUUGCUUCAGUAGAACUGCAUUAUGUUAAUGCUAUUUAUGUCUUAGUAUUUUUAACGUUCUAAGCAAUUCUGCUAUAUACAGACGUAGCCCACACUGCUGUUAUUUUUACUUUUUCUUUUUUUUUUGUUAUUUCCAAAGGCAUAUUCCUUUGACGCUCAUUCUUCAAUUCUUUGGGGAAUAAGCGUUGUGGCAUGGUGAGACUGAGAGAGAUGUAAGAGUUAAAUGGCAUGAACAGGGUAUUUGUAUCCACAUACGUGAAAAUAGUAAAAUACUAUACUCUGUGCUCUUGAUUCCUUGUUCUGAUGUGUUCUCAGAAUUGCUUUAAGAAUAAGGACUCCACACAUUUUCUGGAUGAACGCAGACAAUGUGUUAGACUUGAUUGAGAUAUCUUCGGACUCUGAAAGGCAAGAAGUGGUAGCAUUCGCUGCUUAGUUAUUCGGAUUUGCAUUGUGGAUUCUCCAAGCAAGCUCACUCUGUUUACAUGGAUUCGUUAAUUCUAUAUGUAUCAAAUGUAUGGAAUCUUUCUUUAAAGAUAUGUUGUGGUUCUCCACGUAAAUCCAAUUUAAAAUGUUGUCUUAACUAGUUGCUUCCUCACUGAAUCAAAACAAAAGGAGAGAGGGAUAUAUUCGUUGGAAGUAAAAUCCUCCGAAAACUUGUAGUAACACGGGUCUCAUCAUAACAUGGGUCUCUAUCAUAUGAAUGAAUGAUUAUCAUGUUGAUAAAUAUUGUUGAAAUCCCACAAGUUUAUUUUCCCAAUUUUAAUGUGCUCGAAAGGCCAAAUUAAAACUCAUAUAAUAUGUAGGGAAAUAUCUUUCACUGUUCAUAACAACGAAGCAAACUGAAAAAAAAAAAUGAAAAUCAUUGAGCAAGGCACAGAGUUGAGUUUCGA